Molecule: ribosomal RNA, 563 nt
Filed under: uncultured fungus
Lineage: Eukaryota; Fungi
Description: eukaryotic LSU rRNA
Rfam family: 5.8S ribosomal RNA (bases 210-363)
Source: RNAcentral
GUCGUAACAAGGUCUCCGUAGGUGAACCUGCGGAGGGAUCAUUACACAAAUAUGAAGGCGGGCUGGAACCUCUCGGGGUUACAGCCUUGCUGAAUUAUUCACCCUUGUCUUUUGCGUACUUCUUGUUUCCUUGGUGGGUUCGCCCACCACUAGGACAAACAUAAACCUUUUGUAAUUGCAAUCAGCGUCAGUUACAAAUUAAUAAUUACAACUUUCAACAACGGAUCUCUUGGUUCUGGCAUCGAUGAAGAACGCAGCGAAAUGCGAUAAGUAGUGUGAAUUGCAGAAUUCAGUGAAUCAUCGAAUCUUUGAACGCACAUUGCGCCCUUUGGUAUUCCAAAGGGCAUGCCUGUUCGAGCGUCAUUUGUACCCUCAAGCUUUGCUUGGUGUUGGGCGUCUUGUCUCUAGCUUUGCUGGGGACUCGCCUUAAAGUAAUUGGCAGCCGGCCUACUGGUUUCGGAGCGCAGCACAAGUCGCACUCUCUAUCAGCAAAGGUCUAGCAUCCAUUAAGCCUUUUUUUCAACUUUUGACCUCGGAUCAGGUAGGGAUACCCGCUGAACUUA